Long non-coding RNA from Telopea speciosissima, 193 nucleotides. RefSeq lists it as uncharacterized. The record is from RefSeq and is a predicted model, not a curated record. NCBI's taxonomy places the organism in Eukaryota, Viridiplantae, Streptophyta, Magnoliopsida, Proteales, Proteaceae. The transcript has 3 exons.
UACAAAGACCUUACCUUAAGCAAUUCUUGAUAAUCUUGCAUGAGACUUUGAUGCUUGAACCUGGCUCUAGCAUCCUCAUCAACCAUAUACAAAGGAGAAGAAUCCAUCGCAACCCUCUUCAUCUUCUUCAACAUGACAUACCAGAGAGAAAGCAAAGCAAUGGAAAGGGAUGACAGAGGAGGCCACUGUGUUU